UACGUAGGGUGCAAGCGUUGUCCGGAAUUAUUGGGCGUAAAGAGCUCGUAGGCGGUGUGUCGCGUCGGCCGUGAAAACCUGCAGCUUAACUGUGGGCUUGCGGUCGAUACGGGCAUCACUGGAGUUCGGCAGGGGAGACUGGAAUUCCUGGUGUAGCGGUGGAAUGCGCAGAUAUCAGGAGGAACACCGGUGGCGAAGGCGGGUCUCUGGGCCGAUACUGACGCUGAGGAGCGAAAGCGUGGGGAGCGAACAGG
RNAcentral lists this ribosomal RNA (254 nucleotides) under uncultured bacterium. RNAcentral describes it as "partial 16S ribosomal RNA". It matches the Rfam family "Bacterial small subunit ribosomal RNA", at positions 524 to 776 of the family's 1533-position model. The record is from RNAcentral.